This is a long non-coding RNA of Poecilia latipinna (sailfin molly), 2328 nucleotides long. RefSeq lists it as uncharacterized. The record is from RefSeq and is a predicted model, not a curated record. NCBI's taxonomy places the organism in Eukaryota, Metazoa, Chordata, Actinopteri, Cyprinodontiformes, Poeciliidae. The transcript has 3 exons.
AUCAAAGGGAAACUUAGAGAGACCAAUUGACCUAACAGUCACGGUUUUGGUUUUGGGCUGUAAGAGGAAACUGGAGUACCCAGAGAGAACAUGCUCAGGGAGAACAUGCACACCCUGCAGAAAGACCUCAGGCCAGGAUUCAAACCCAGGACCCUGUUGGUGGAAGGAAACACCAAAUGUUCCACCAGAACACGUCCUCUAUGUCCAUAUGGCUGCAAUGACUACAAAUUGCUGCUUUUCACAAAUUUCUGCCAGUUUGAGCAUAGAAACGGGACAAAGGGAGUUAGAGAGCAGUUUAAUCAACAGCCUGGCCGUGAUAUAAUAUAGUGACCAGACAGAGGAAAUAACAACUAAACAACUAAAAGAGCAGAUUAGAAAUUAUGCCAUCAUUCAGAAACAGGAAAGGUUUUACCUUUCCGAGCUGAUUUACUCUGCCAAUCUUUCAGAGCAACAGUGAAUUUCUGCCUUCAGAUGGUUUAAUGAGAUGUUAUUCUCCCGUCAGGAGCUACCACAUAAUCCAAUCCGUCCCUGAGGAAAACGCUGUGCAGCUCUUUGAUGUCUCCACCAAACCCCGGAACGUCAGCGGUCCUGAUAGGUGACAGAGAUUGCCUCUCCUCCCGGUCGCCGUGUUUUGGUAUGAGCUAAAUGAACUGCUCCAGCUCCGUCGUGGCGACAGCUGGAUUAGACCUGCUCCCCACCCGGAGCCGGGCCGGCGGAGAGGUGUUUGCAGCCUGGAGGCUUUCCAAUCAGCCUUCAUCCCACCGUCCUCCAGGACAGACACACGCAGAGGCCGCCCUUCGUGAUUAAAGCUCCGCUGUGCCUGACUCAUGCAAUCCGAGUCCUGCAGGCUUCACAACAGCUGGAAUUACUCAGUUGCUCAACCUCGCUCCCUGUGUCGAGCAAAGUCCUGCGGUGUGCACGAGUGUGUGAGUGCGAGAGUGACAGCUAACCGAGGGAACGCGAUAUAUUAAACGACCUUUGUGGCUUGUUGGAUUUCAGGCCUUUGGGGGACAGCCUCAGUCACUGCUGCCAACAUCCACUAUAUCUGCUGUGCCGUUAAAAGGAGGAGAUAAUCAAUCACCGGACGCCCGAGGCGACAGAGAUGUUCCCAUACCUGACACCUUUAAAAGCUUGGCUAUAUAUUGUAAAGAAUCCAAACUUGUCACAGCAAAGCAGAAUCCAGAGGAAACAAACACACUGCAUGGAUCCCUGUCCUCACUCUCAGAGGGAAAUCUCUAACAUCGAGUUGUAGAAGUGUGGAAGAACUGAAUCAAGCUCAUAGAAAAUAAAUUCCUCUGAAGAUUCCUGAGAAGUUUCUGCUCCUGCUUCAGCCUUUCGACAUCAGACAUAUUUGUCUGACCCCCAGAGUCACUCAGCACUCACCUGCUUCCUGAAAUGACCUCAGAUCAGCCUCAGGAAGGAGAACAGAUCUACUGUCCUGCAGCUUCUAGAUGCACCGAGCUUCUCACUCCAUCUCUGAGGCAGAACCCAGACGGCCUGAGAAGGAAACUCACUCUGAGGAGGAAGACGCUGUGAGUGAAAUGGCUGAUGGGAACUGGCAGAUGAGGCUUUCAGGGGCCGUGUGUGUUUGAGCGCUCGUGUGCUGCAUUGUCCUCGCUGAAUGGAAGCCCAGCUGCAACCCUAAUCUACAUAAUGGGAGGGCUGCAGCGAAUAAACAGCAUGAGAAACCCAAUCCAGCUUUCCAAUCUAAUUCAAUCUUUACGUAGCUACGAUUACCAAAUCCUACAGCGGACUGAUGGAUGUUCUCAGCUUCAGCAGGAAAACACUGUGAUGCAAAGAAGUUUUGUUUCAGUGAGGAGAUAAAGCAAAAUGUUCCUCAGCUUUUGGAUAAAUAUGUUUGAUUUGUGUUCUAUUUGAAAAUCUGAAGCACAGAUCAGCUCUCCUCGAGUCCCAGAGGAAGAAAAAGGUGAAACAGAGGAAUAUGGCCUCAAAUGUCAGAGCCGCAGGGCUUUUUCAGCGAAAGGGAAAGUUUCAUGGAGCGUUACACAUAGAAAUGUGAUGUAAAGAGCUGAUGUGGCUCAUUUUUCAGAAUCACAAAGAGGCUGAGGCUACUCUACAUGAUGUAAGUCUAUGUCAGUCCUUGGUAGCGCUCCGCUCCUCUGCACAGGCCCCGGUUUGUGGGGGCAGAUGUGAUUUAGAUGCCCCCACCCUGAGGAACAGGAGUCCUUCUUUUCUGCAGACUGCCCAGCAUAAUACAGUAGAAACAACAGAAGAAGGGGCCUGGCUUCUACACAAAUCUGCUUGAAGCUGUUUUUCUUCCAGUGAUCAGAUCUCUGGGCUCAGCUCAAAACAUGAGUCGUUUUGAAG